Molecule: ribosomal RNA, 201 nt
Filed under: uncultured bacterium
Lineage: Bacteria
Description: partial 16S ribosomal RNA
Rfam family: Archaeal small subunit ribosomal RNA
Source: RNAcentral
UACCAGCACCCCCGAGUUGUCGGGACGGAUUAUUGGGCCGUAAACGACAUCCGUAGCCUGUUCUGCAAGUCCUCCGUUAAAUACCACCUGCUCAACGGAUGGGCGUGCGGAGGAUACCGCAGAGCUAGGAGGCGGGAGAGGCAAACGGUACUCAGUGGGUAGGGGUAAAAUCCAUUGAUCUACUGAAGACCACCAGUGGCG